AUUGAACGCUGGCGGCAGGCCUAACACAUGCAAGUCGAGCGGUAGCACAGAGAGCUUGCUCUCGGGUGACGAGCGGCGGACGGGUGAGUAAUGUCUGGGAAACUGCCUGAUGGAGGGGGAUAACUACUGGAAACGGUAGCUAAUACCGCAUAACGUCGCAAGACCAAAGUGGGGGACCUUCGGGCCUCAUGCCAUCAGAUGUGCCCAGAUGGGAUUAGCUAGUAGGUGGGGUAACGGCUCACCUAGGCGACGAUCCCUAGCUGGUCUGCGAGGAUGACCAGCCACACUGGAACUGAGACACGGUCCAGACUCCUACGGGAGGCAGCAGUGGGGAAUAUUGCACAAUGGGCGCAAGCCUGAUGCAGCCAUGCCGCGUGUGUGAAGAAGGCCUUCGGGUUGUAAAGUACUUUCAGCGGGGAGGAAGGCGGUGAAGUUAAUAGCUUCACCGAUUGACGUUACCCGCAGAAGAAGCACCGGCUAACUCCGUGUCAGCAGCCGCCGUAA
RNAcentral lists this ribosomal RNA (504 nucleotides) under uncultured bacterium. RNAcentral's name for it is "partial 16S ribosomal RNA". It matches the Rfam family "Bacterial small subunit ribosomal RNA", at positions 30 to 523 of the family's 1533-position model. The record is from RNAcentral.